Long non-coding RNA from Cryptomeria japonica (Japanese cedar), 954 nucleotides. RefSeq lists it as uncharacterized. NCBI's taxonomy places the organism in Eukaryota, Viridiplantae, Streptophyta, Pinopsida, Cupressales, Cupressaceae. The transcript has 4 exons. The record is from RefSeq and is a predicted model, not a curated record.
UACACACUAGUUUAUCUUAACAAUUUUGUGGAAGGAUGCGUUGCCAUGCUCAAAAUCAUGGAGUCAUGCUGUAGUGUGAAGGACAAGUAUUUGAAGCAUAUGGAAAUGUUUGGGUUCAAAAUUUGAACUAUUUUGCAAUUUUCUUUGGCCGGAAAUUGAGAAGAUCAGAUUGAUACAAUGGCUAAGCAUAGAAUUUGCAACAUUGUUUGCCGCAGUCAUGCACCCAGUCAUCUUCAAUGCAAAAGACAUAUGGAAUCUCAGGAUACAUACGUUCUAAGACAGAAAAAUGGAUGUGCACUCUAGGCUCGUGAGAAAGGACAAAGCAAUACCAAAGUGGUGGUUUUUCAUGAUUCUUGCCUUGACUUUAACAGUCACCAUUACAUUCUGUGAUUCGUUUAAGGAUCAACGUCAAUUGCAGUGGUGGGGAGUGCUCCUUUCAUGUGGCCUUGCCAUAUUCUUCGCUCUACCAAAUGGCAUUAUAAAGGCUACUAUUGAUAAGUUAUCAAAGUCUUGCAUUUUGAAGAAGAUAAUGGUGAUCAUGUUGCAAAUUCUUGCAUAAAUGUACAUUCUUCUCUAUACUUGCAAAUCAGCGCAUCUUCCACGACCGCCUCAUAUCCCUUCCUACAGUUUGAUCUAUGUAAUACCGUAGAUGUGUGGCAGAUAUAUUCCCAAAUAUCAAUGCAAGAGAAUGCACAUAAAACUAUAGCUCUGUCAGUUCAUUGCAGGGAUAUGGGGUUUUCAAGGAUCAGAUGGAAUUUGUUAAUAACCCACAUGCCUUGACGUUUGGAUGUGGCAAAUGUUGAGAGAGUUAUGUAGUGUCUAGAAGCCUCUGGCAUAGGUUUUCCUGUUUUGCAUUUUUCAUCACAGGGGGAGCAAAAAAAAGAAGACUGUGUUGUGUAGUAGCAGAUAGCUCCAGAUUCAUGUACAUUUUUGGUUUUGGCUCAAGAGGUGUUA